This 69-nucleotide transfer RNA is filed under the name Sophonia linealis. RNAcentral's name for it is "tRNA-Lys". Lineage: Eukaryota; Metazoa; Arthropoda; Insecta; Hemiptera; Cicadellidae. The record is from RNAcentral.
CAUUAAGUAUCUUAAUAAAAGUAUUGAUCUCUUAAAUCAAAUUAUAGUAAUUUAAACUACUCUUAAUGA